Molecule: ribosomal RNA, 150 nt
Filed under: Echinostelium bisporum
Lineage: Eukaryota; Evosea; Eumycetozoa; Echinosteliales; Echinosteliidae
Description: partial small subunit ribosomal RNA
Rfam family: Eukaryotic small subunit ribosomal RNA
Source: RNAcentral
GCAUGGCCGUUCUUAGUUGGUGGAGUGAUUUGUCUGCUCAAUUGCGGUAACGAACGAGACCUCUCCCAUCUUAAUAGGACCCUCGGUCCUGUUCUUCGGGACCGGUGGGUGGGCCGCCGGGGUGGCUCCCAUGGUUAAUCGCUGUGGGAU